This 301-nucleotide ribosomal RNA is filed under the name uncultured bacterium. Its description in RNAcentral is "partial 16S ribosomal RNA". It matches the Rfam family "Bacterial small subunit ribosomal RNA", at positions 509 to 807 of the family's 1533-position model. The record is from RNAcentral.
CAGCCGCCGCGGGAAUACGGAGGGUGCAAGCGUUGUCCGGAUUUAUUGGGUUUAAAGGGUGCGCAGGCGGGGGGGUCAGUCCGCGGUGAAAGACGAUCGCUCAACGAUUGCAGUGCCGUGGAUACUGCCCUUCUUGAGUCUGGUUGAGGCCGGUGGAAUUGACCGUGUAGCGGUGAAAUGCAUAGAUAUGGUCAAGAACUCCAAUUGCGAAGGCAGCCGGCUGGGCCAGCAUUGACGCUCAGGCACGAGAGUGCGGGGAUCAAACAGGAUUAGAUACCCCCGUAGUCCCUGUCUCUUAUAC